RNAcentral lists this transfer RNA (76 nucleotides) under bacterium. RNAcentral describes it as "tRNA-Ala". It matches the Rfam family "tRNA". From Rfam's summary of the family: Transfer RNA (tRNA) molecules are approximately 80 nucleotides in length. The record is from RNAcentral.
GGGGGUAUAGCUCAGUUGGUAGAGCGCUUCCAUGGCAUGGAAGAGGUCCUCGGUUCGAGUCCGUGUACCUCCACCA